Molecule: ribosomal RNA, 492 nt
Filed under: uncultured bacterium
Lineage: Bacteria
Description: partial 16S ribosomal RNA
Rfam family: Bacterial small subunit ribosomal RNA
Source: RNAcentral
AGUGAACGCUGGCGGUAGGCCUAACACAUGCAAGUCGAACGGCAGCACAGUAAGAGCUUGCUCUUACGGGUGGCGAGUGGCGGACGGGUGAGGAAUACAUCGGAAUCUACUUUUUCGUGGGGGAUAACGUAGGGAAACUUACGCUAAUACCGCAUACGACCUACGGGUGAAAGCAGGGGAUCUUCGGACCUUGCGCGAUUGAAUGAGCCGAUGUCGGAUUAGCUAGUUGGCGGGGUAAAGGCCCACCAAGGCGACGAUCCGUAGCUGGUCUGAGAGGAUGAUCAGCCACACUGGAACUGAGACACGGUCCAGACUCCUACGGGAGGCAGCAGUGGGGAAUAUUGGACAAUGGGCGAAAGCCUGAUACAGCCAUACCGCGUGGGUGAAGAAGGCCUUCGGGUUGUAAAGCCCUUUUGUUGGGAAAGAAAAGCAGCAGGUUAAUACCCCGCUGUUCUGACGGUACCCAAAGAAUAAGCACCGGCUAACUUCGUG